This is an RNA transcript of Chelmon rostratus (copperband butterflyfish), 1365 nucleotides long. It is a transcript of the gene named DNA-dependent protein kinase catalytic subunit-like, with no coding region annotated. The record is from RefSeq and is a predicted model, not a curated record. The transcript has 7 exons. NCBI's taxonomy places the organism in Eukaryota, Metazoa, Chordata, Actinopteri, Chaetodontiformes, Chaetodontidae.
GCCAUGUUUCUCUGACAGGGUUCUUCUGAGAAAGUAAUGUGGCGCUCCCGAUGCUAAUGUUAGCUUAAGUCAGUGGUGCAGCGAUGUCAUCUACUGACAGCAACACUGUGGGAGGGAUUCACGGGCUUCUUCUGAAACUUCACGAAUCACUUUCAGACGAAGACACCCGAGCGGCAGCUUUGAAAUGUCACGAUAUAGUCGGUGACUUGGGCCAUGAGUGCAUGCUAACACCGACCGAGAAUGAACUUGAUGGAAAUGAGUCGCUAUGCCGUCACAUUGGCUGGGCUUCGACUGUUUGCCAGACAUGCAUCCCAGUUCAGUAGCUGCCUUAUGGACCACUGCAGAGGUUUGUUUGAGGUCAUGUCUAAACUCUGCGGACACAUCAACCCUGAGAUGAAGAAGACAAGUUACUAUGCACUUGAGGCCUUCCUCAAACAGGUACAUUGCAGCAGUGCCAUUGAUCAUCUGAAAAGAAUCGUCAAACAAAAGGCCCCCAGCCUCAAUCAGCACAGUACUGAGAGACGCGUCCCAAGGUUGGUACACAGUAUGACCCUGAUCCAGCAGGGCGGCGUGCUGAUGAGCUCCAUGCUGCAGGCCAUGGUGGAGAGGGUCCUGCUGCCCCUUGCCUCUAACUGUAGCCCCAAGGCCCUGAAUGACUUCUUUGUGGCAAAUGUCUCCGACAUGACAGCUUUGCUGCUCAGCCGCUUCACUAAGUCAAAUGAAACAGAAUUUGAGAUCCAGUUGCUGAAGAAGAACGGCGGCUACAAGCUGAUGGAGCUCCUGUAUUCUCGGCUUCCCAAAGAAGAGGUUUACUCCAAGGAAUCCCGCAUUAAUCAAGCCUACUGUCCAUCAGACAAAACAGAGGGGAACGAGUUGUCCAAGACCUUGAUCAAGUCGUGUUUUGAAGCGUUCACUGAGAACAUGGCGGGUGAGACUCAGCUCCUUGAACUUAGGAGACACUAUCACUGCAUAUCAGUAGGAUGUUUGCAAGCUACGAGACCUCCAGUAGUGUUUGCAGUAAAUGUUCAUGCAAUGAUGAGAUAUUAUGAUUUAUGUGCAGAAAUGUAUGUGAAAUUCCUCUUCUUGCAGGGGCUUUCCACCUGAUGGGAAGCUGUGCCUCUCCGAUGUGGUUUUAUGGCUUCUGGAGCAAUGUGGCCGGCCUCGGACGAAGUGUCGCCACAAAUGCAUGGAACUCUUCUAUGAGUUCAUACCCCUCCUCCCAGGAAAGAAGUCUCCACCUCAGUGGCUGGAUGGCAUGCUGAAGGAUCAUGGCAUAGGUUUCGUGAUCUCACGGUUUGAGGGUGGAGGUCUCCUCUCCCAGCCCACUCUCAGGGACCUGAAGGGUCCUUUCAGUGUCAGAGCCAC